CAAUGUUCGCGGCUGUCUGGUACUGCGAACUUCUAUACCUCCGCUGUUUAGACACGGCUAGGGGAGAACCACUAUUGAGAUCGGCUCGGGGAGAACCACUGUAAGGAUUAGAACUCGUAGGAAGGGCUUACUGAGGUCACGGUCACGGUCUAGGUUCCGUACCUCUUGAGGUUCCUCAAACGACUGUUCGACAAGCCCUAUACAGCUCCGUCUCCUUGUAACUCGGCCUACUUCCGUAAUUGUUCCUAGCCGAGUCUCUCCACCUUGUACUUGUAACUACCCUACGAGUGUCUUCUACUCCAGUUCUUCCACCGAUGCGUUUACUAGUGUCUCUUCUGAUGGCGACCAAGCAGAAGGGGCGGGAAAUUUAUACAAGUGCAGACGUGUAGUUAGAUAGCUAUAACAAACCCUAUAAAAAGGUGCCGGAAAACUAGCUGGUGCGCUAAGUUUUUCGAGAAAUCACGUCAAACGUUGUUGUUUUUAGUCUCCUAACCAGCAAACAUUCCCACCUAUAGAGUCUCCACCGUCGGUGGGUCUAACCUUAAAUUAAAGUUAGAUAAAGGGACAGACUUCAAAGUAUGAUCUACCUUACAAGGACACUACACUAAACAAGUACCUCUACCUCUCUACACUGAAAGUCUCA
This 643-nucleotide ribosomal RNA is filed under the name Triticum aestivum (bread wheat). RNAcentral's name for it is "partial small subunit ribosomal RNA". The record is from RNAcentral. Lineage: Eukaryota; Viridiplantae; Streptophyta; Magnoliopsida; Poales; Poaceae.